Molecule: non-coding RNA, 83 nt
Organism: Chiloscyllium plagiosum (whitespotted bambooshark)
Lineage: Eukaryota; Metazoa; Chordata; Chondrichthyes; Orectolobiformes; Hemiscylliidae
Source: the annotation of a RefSeq genome assembly
GCUGUGAUGGCCGAGAGGUUAAGGCGUUGGAUUUAAAAUCCAAUGGGGUCACCCUGCGCAGGUUCGUAAUCCUGUUCACAGCG